This 643-nucleotide long non-coding RNA is filed under the name Salmo salar (Atlantic salmon). RNAcentral's name for it is "lncRNA (ENSSSAG00000109093.1)". The record is from RNAcentral. Lineage: Eukaryota; Metazoa; Chordata; Actinopteri; Salmoniformes; Salmonidae.
CGGAGGACGCCUGACUUGACCUUCGCCACCCGAGCUGGUUGGGGAGUUGCAGCGAUGUGACAAGAUCGAAAUUGGGGAGGAAAAGAGGGGUGAAAUAACAAAUGAAAAAAACACACAUAGGCUAUUGAUUAUAGUGUCUCAACAUGAUUAGCUUUAUGAUGUCUCUAGGGCUGCGUUUACACAUGCAGCCCAAUUCUGAUCUUUUUGACCAAUUACAUCCGAUCUUUUCACACUAGAUAUUUUUCAACACACACACACACACACACACACACACACACACACACACACACACACUGUAGCUCAGUCAGUGAAACUGUGUAAAACACAGAUGUUCUCCCAUAUAUCGUCAUGGCAACUGAAGAGACAACAUGAGCUGGCUGGUAGAGCUGGUCUAAGGUAGGAACCACUGAAGAAGAGACAACGUGAGCUGGCUGGUAGAGCUGGUCUAAGGUAGGAACCACUGAAGAAGAGACAACGUGAGCUGGCUGGUAGAGCUGGUCUAAGGUAGGAACCACUGAAGAAGAGACAAGGUGAGCUGGCUGGUAGAGCUGGUCUAAGGUAGAAACCACUGAAGAAGAGACAAGGUGAGCUGGCUGGUAGAGCUGGUCUAAGGUAGGAACCACUGAAGAAGAGACAACGUGAG